RNAcentral lists this ribosomal RNA (863 nucleotides) under Streptomyces atrovirens. Its description in RNAcentral is "bacterial SSU rRNA". It matches the Rfam family "Bacterial small subunit ribosomal RNA", at positions 1 to 876 of the family's 1533-position model. The record is from RNAcentral. Lineage: Bacteria; Bacillati; Actinomycetota; Actinomycetes; Kitasatosporales; Streptomycetaceae.
CGUACAUCCAGAGUUUGAUCAUGGCUCAGGACGAACGCUGGCGGCGUGCUUAACACAUGCAAGUCGAACGAUGAACCACUUCGGUGGGGAUUAGUGGCGAACGGGUGAGUAACACGUGGGCAAUCUGCCCUGCACUCUGGGACAAGCCCUGGAAACGGGGUCUAAUACCGGAUACUGACCCGCCUGGGCAUCCAGGCGGUUCGAAAGCUCCGGCGGUGCAGGAUGAGCCCGCGGCCUAUCAGCUUGUUGGUGAGGUAACGGCUCACCAAGGCGACGACGGGUAGCCGGCCUGAGAGGGCGACCGGCCACACUGGGACUGAGACACGGCCCAGACUCCUACGGGAGGCAGCAGUGGGGAAUAUUGCACAAUGGGCGCAAGCCUGAUGCAGCGACGCCGCGUGAGGGAUGACGGCCUUCGGGUUGUAAACCUCUUUCAGCAGGGAAGAAGCGCAAGUGACGGUACCUGCAGAAGAAGCGCCGGCUAACUACGUGCCAGCAGCCGCGGUAAUACGUAGGGCGCGAGCGUUGUCCGGAAUUAUUGGGCGUAAAGAGCUCGUAGGCGGCUUGUCGCGUCGGUUGUGAAAGCCCGGGGCUUAACCCCGGGUCUGCAGUCGAUACGGGCAGGCUAGAGUUCGGUAGGGGAGAUCGGAAUUCCUGGUGUAGCGGUGAAAUGCGCAGAUAUCAGGAGGAACACCGGUGGCGAAGGCGGAUCUCUGGGCCGAUACUGACGCUGAGGAGCGAAAGCGUGGGGAGCGAACAGGAUUAGAUACCCUGGUAGUCCACGCCGUAAACGGUGGGCACUAGGUGUGGGCGACAUUCCACGUCGUCCGUGCCGCAGCUAACGCAUUAAGUGCCCCGCCUGG